AUUAGAUACCCCGUGUAGUCCCAGCCGUAAACGAUGCGCGUUAGGUGUACCGGCGACCACGAGUUGCCGGGGUGCCGAAGGGAAACCGUGAAACGUGCCGCCUGGGAAGUACGGUCGCAAGGCUGAAACUUAAAGGAAUUGGCGGGGGAGCACUACAACGGGUGGAGCCUGCGGUUUAAUUGGACUCAACGCCGGAAAUCUCACCGGAUAAGACAGCGGAAUGAUAACCGGGCUGAAGACUCUGUUUGACCAGCUGAGAGGAGGUGCAUGGC
RNAcentral lists this ribosomal RNA (272 nucleotides) under uncultured archaeon. RNAcentral describes it as "partial 16S ribosomal RNA". It matches the Rfam family "Archaeal small subunit ribosomal RNA", at positions 728 to 998 of the family's 1478-position model. The record is from RNAcentral.